GUUGGAGCUUCCCGGCUGCUUUGUUUACCUAAUCAAGCCCGGGCAAUGGCGGGCGCCCCUCCCGCAGCCUCGCUGCCGCCUUGCAGUUGGAUCUCAGACUGCUGUGCUAGCAAUCAGCGAGACUCCGUGGGCGUAGGACCCUCCGAGCCAGGUGUGGGAUAUAAUCUCGUGGUGCGCCGUUUUUUAAGCGGGUCUGAAAAACGCAAUAUUCGGGUGGGAGUGACUCGAUUUUCCAGGUGCGUCCGUCACCCCUUUCUUUGACUCAGAAAGGGAACUCCCUGACCCCUUGCGCUUCCCAAGUGAGGCAAUGCCUCGCCCUGCUUCGGCUCGCGCACCCACUGACCUGCGCCCACUGUCUGGCACUCCCUAGUGAGAUGAACCCGGUACCUCAGAUGGAAAUGCAGAAAUCACCCGUCUUCUGCGUCGCUCACGCUGGGAGCUGUAGACCGGAGCUGUUCCUAUUCGGCCAUCUUGGCUCCUCCGCCUCAGAGGUAUUAUCGCUUCAGUUCCAGAUCACCACAGUAAAUACUGCAAUACACCAGGUGCAAGUUGAUAAAAGAAUUCUGGAAAUUGAAGGCCAAGGAAGAGUGACUCAAAAAUAAGAAGCAGGCUGAAAAAUGAGAUGAGGAGACCGAGGCUCGGAGAGGCUUAUGCAUUUGCCCAAGACUCUACAACUCCACAACUUAACAGGCAAUUGCAUCUAGCAUAUAAUGUGUUGGUUAUCCCCAGAACACAGAGCAGUGCAUCUCCACAGCGAGAAUUCCAGAACAGGGUAAUCAUCAAGAAUCAAAUGGCUUGGAUCUGGUCUCUUCUCUUUGAGGAAGCAAGCAGGCAUGGAGGUGAGUCAGGCCAUUGGAAGAUUUCCUGUGGCUGAUGAAGAAUCCAACUCCAGGUUGCUCUUCUUUGAAGAGGAUUCCAGAAAUGCUUAGGGGCUGCUUGUUUGGACUGUAGGAGCUUAGCUGAGCACCAAGCACCAGCAGGAAUCAGAGAAUGGUGGCUUCCAUCCUCUGCGCACAGCAGCAAGGAAGAUAUAUUGUUGUUUAUAAUUGCACUCCUGUGUCCUUACAGGCCACUUCCUCUUUCUCUCUCUCUGUGAUCUCAGGCAUGUUGUGUGCUUCCAGCUCAAGCCGGCUCUGUGUUUUAGGCCAACCAACACAAUUCAUAUAACAUCCUUGCACAUUUCCACCAUUUCCCGCCUCACCAUGCCUCAGAGGACUACAGGCUCCCCAAGACGGGACAUGGUUGGGCAGGUACCGGAUAGAUGCUGUCACUGCUGAAAAAGAAAAAAAUAUCCAAAGUAUUCACGUUGUACCUGCUGAGUGCCAGUACUGCAUGCUCUGGGGAUUCCAUUCCUGCCCCUAUGGAAGAGGGGUCAACUUUUCCAAAACAUCAUCUUCUAGAGGAAGAAGCUGAAGCCCAGCAAGGAAAAGUAACAUAACGAAGAUCUCAGCAGAAUGACGGUUAUCUGAGCAUCUAUAUUCUGGGGUUGCAAAAAGAACAAGAACGUAGGGUUCAAUGGACCUGAGUUCCAGGCCUCACUCUGUCACCAGCUGACUGUAAGAAGCCCACCCACCUCCACCUUCUCUAGAUCACAUGUUUUAUGGCCGCCUCAAAGGCGUGAAGCAGGUGAGUCGUGCUGCCUCUGCCAACAUCUGCUUUGUGAGCCUGGGAGUAUUUCACGGAGAUGUUUCUCUCGACAGGUUUAUGGCUGGUCUUGGCUCAGUGCCUUGAAAACACUGAUCAUGUGAUGAAACGAGAAUGUCAUGCUGCGGGCCAUCAAUAAACCACACUGGCAUUCCCGCUCCCACCCCGACACCACUCCACCCAUGCAAUUUCCCUCCCCUUCAGCCUCCUCCCUCCCCACCUCCCAAAGAUAUCCAGACCAGGCCAACUCAUUAGGAAGUGACAUCCACCAGGAUUCUUGGCCCCAGUCAAAAGAGUGGCCAGAGCUUGUCUGCUGCUUGCGGAUACUUUUCUGUUUUGUGUUAAACGUUUGAGUUUGGAAAUGAGCAAGAGCUAUGUCUAAGGGAAACCAGACAGCUUGUUUGAAAAUCCACUAAAUGGCCAUCGGAGGAUCAUGCCAGAUCUUAGAACAAAGUCUCAGUUAUUGCCUGAAAGCAUAAACUUUCAGGCAAGGCAUCUUCUCCAUGCUCCUCAGCAUCUGCAGAGUAGCAGAGACUUGAAAGAGAUGUGUCCUCUGGAUCCCACGUCAGAUGAUACAUCUUGGGAUUUCCCUACCUGGGGGAAGAGUGGGUUUUCCUGAGGAAAUUGCAAGUGGGCCUGAGUUUCUAGAGUGUGAGGUGAAAUGGAUGCCACUGUACUGAAUUCUGACCAAAACUCUGGAGAGAUGCUGCGAAGGAACUCAGCUUCCACUGAAAGGGUCAGUGAAGGCUUCAAGGACAGUAUCACAGCACUUUCCUAUCACUUCUAUAAAAAUCACAUCCACUUUUUCCCACCAACUUGCCCAUUCUCCUUGUCUGGGACACAGGCCCUGGUACUUUACAUUCAGGUCAUUUCCAAGGGAUAGAGAGAAAUAGACAGAGGCUGAAAGAGUGAUGGGGCCGGGAGACGCUGAGAUCAUUCAACUACCAAUGCCAUUCUGAACUAAGACUUUUUUUUUUUUUUUUUUUUUUUUUUUUUUUGAGAUGGAGUCUCGCUCUGUCACCCAGGCUGGAGUGCAGUGGCAUGAUCUUGGCUCACUGCAAGCUCUCCCUCCUGGGUUCACACCAUUCUCCUGCCUCAGCCUCCCAAGUAGCUGGGACUACAGGCACCUGCCACCAAAGACUUUCUUAAACCACACUCUCUCCCUGCCAAGAAAAUGGGUAUCAUGUCCUUCAUAACCCAUCCUGAAAAAAUGAAACCGACAUGAUGGCAGAGUGGUAUGAAAAAGACUCUGAAUUUGGAAUUGAGGGACAAGAGCUCAACUGCCAACUCUCUUUAUUCCCCCUGGGACAUUGGGCAACUUAAUCUACUUCUCAGUGAGUUGAUCUGUCACUUGGGUCUAAUAAUACAACUUCUUACGACUACUUUUUAAAGCAAAUAAAAAGAUAUAUUUGAGAGAAUGCUUUAUUAAUUGCAAAACACUGCCCAAAUUUCAGUCAUUAUUAUUUCCUGUCUGUCUAUUUUCCAUCUAUCUGCAUCCUGUUGACGUAACAAGGUAGCUAUCUUCCAUAUGGUCUGUCUCCCAUUUAGAUUGUAAGCCUUUUGAAGGAGGGCUGGUAUUUACUUUUGCAUAAUUGGUACUCAAUAAAAGUUUUUGAAUGAA
Homo sapiens (human) is the source of this 3265-nucleotide long non-coding RNA. RefSeq lists it as uncharacterized. The record is from RefSeq and is marked validated. The transcript is spliced from 11 exons. Lineage: Eukaryota; Metazoa; Chordata; Mammalia; Primates; Hominidae.